RNAcentral lists this long non-coding RNA (328 nucleotides) under Homo sapiens (human). RNAcentral describes it as "non-protein coding lnc-TRIM38-2:6". The record is from RNAcentral. Lineage: Eukaryota; Metazoa; Chordata; Mammalia; Primates; Hominidae.
AGCGCCUCUGGUGGGCCGCCUCCCGCAGGCCUGGUGUGAGCCUGGGGUCCGUUCUCACAGCUGGAUCUGGGGUCUGAAUGCCGCGCCCUCUGGAGAGCCACAGAUGGGUCUCCGCUGAUGCUUCUCUCAAUUUCCUCUAAGAGCGAGAGCUCCGGGAAAGGAGCCGAUCCUGGUGGAAGACUACAGGUCUGAGUCCACUGGACGAAAAACGAGGCUCCUUGGAUUAGAGACCAUCCUGAGGACAUCCUUGGGAGCCAUGUGCUGAAGAUGGCCAAGCCACAGGAUGAAAGGAGCUGCAUCUUUGAGUCACCACUGGAGAAAGCAAUCA